This 1060-nucleotide long non-coding RNA is filed under the name Homo sapiens (human). Its description in RNAcentral is "HSALNT0072395". Lineage: Eukaryota; Metazoa; Chordata; Mammalia; Primates; Hominidae. The record is from RNAcentral.
GCUUUUUCUUCUGCCUGGAAGGCCAUCUCUUCUCUUGUUUAUCUCAUGCAUUUCCCACUAAUUCUUAAAGAUUUCAUUCAAGUGUUACUCUCUCUGAAGACUUCUUUUGUCCUGCUCCCUCAUCUUCCAAAACUUUGUGCUCGUAUCAGCAUCUCCUUAAUUACACUGGAUUGAAAUUAUCUCUGUGGGAUGACAUCUCAGAGAACCCAAACAUCUGAAGGAGGGAGAACACAAAAAUCACAAGAGAAACCCAAAGGAGAUCUGAAAAGGCGCCCGCCUGAGGCAACCCACACUCACAUAAGCUUCCAUUAUGCAUGAAGUUGCUGAGAAUCUUUGCAAUGGCUCAUGGGAGAUCUAUUUACAUGGAUUUUGUUACAGAAGCUAACCACAUUUUGAGUCAGACAGAGUGGUGUCUGAUGUUAAAUAAAUAAAUAAAAAUUUCCCUUGUGAAAAACCAUCUCUUCUAGUCAGGGGCAGUCACUGGUGUGACUCAUGACCUUGAAGCUGCAUUUGAACUUGAUGGAAGAUGGUCAUUAGUCCACCUAAAGACCUGAUCAUGGUUUUUGACUUCUAGAGCACAGUUAUUUUUUUGUUAAUGCUGGGAAUUUGCAGUGAGACAUUCACACACACACAUUUUUCUUUUCUUUUGUCUUCUUUUAUACACUAUGUUUGGAAGGAAUUUCAAGAGGGCUUCAAUUUGUUGAAAGAGGUUGCCUCUUUAUGGGGUAGGAGGUGGGACUCAACUCAAGAGGCAGGGCUCGGCUCUGGACCACAUUGAAGACUGGCUCUAUAAGGCAGGCCUUCCAAUAUCAUGACAGUUUACUCAUUUUCUGGAAACAACCCUACCUGGAAGUUACCACUCCUUUUUCUAGAAAUUUCCGAAUAGCCUGCCCCCUAAUUUGCACAUAAUUAAAAGUGAAUAUAAAUGUGGUUGUAGAACUGCCCUGAGCUGCUACUCUUGACACACUGCCUAUGGGGCAGCCCUACUCUGCAGCAGCAGUCAUGAAGCUCUAAUACUACUCCCUCAAUAAAGCUGUUUCCUUCCACCACUGGCUCGCCC